CCUCUCACAGUGUGCUACUCGUAAUCGGGGCGUAUGAGUGCUCCGGUGCUCGGCCGACUUACCCCACGUGCGCGCCCGUCGUCUUGUGCUUCAGUCGAUUUCAAGCCCGUCGACGAGUGUUUUGCAAAAACGUUGUGAAUUUCGUGAGUUUGGUCGUUAGAAAAAUUGCCCUAUUAUUGUGACGACGAUACAUGUUACACGUAACGCAGUCACGAUGGACACCACCUAACGACAUUAUUUCUAUGAAAUAUUUCCAUCAAAUAGUAACGAGAAAUUUUUUUUUUUCCACUUUUAUUAUUAUUGUAUUUUUUUUUUACGGUUUUUGUUUUAUGUCAGUUUUUUCUUCCGGCCGUACAAUAUUACAUUACCGCUCGUUGACAUACCAAGUAUUAUGACGGAUUUGUAUAAUCCGCGGUACCGUUGGUGACAUGUCGGAUGGUGUUUGCGUGUGUUGGACAGUGUUGGUGGCGCUGGCCGUGUGGUGUUUGGCUGUAGGCGCGACGGAGUUGACUACCCGGAUGGCACCCUGCGCCCAUCUGGGCGACGAGACCAACGACGUUUCGGCUCGAACGUACGCGUCUGAUGUGGUAUUCGAGGGCAAGGUGCGAUCGAGGAGUCCCAUACGGCCCGGAGCCGGCACGUACGGCGUCACGUUUGUAGUGCAACGGGUGCACAAGGACGCUAUGCAAGCGGUCACCUACGAGGGUCUUCGAGUUGGGAGUCCAGUGCGGCUCUACUUUCGGGAAAAACGAGACUACGGCAGCAGUGAUCCACGGAGACGGCGUCCCACCGGCACUACGGCCGGCAUUGCCGGGUCGUCGCAAUGCGUCCAGCGAUUCGCGCCCGCCGCCGGCGGACAAACUGUCGAGGCCAACAUCAAACGGGGUGCAAAGUACCUGGUGUUCGUGGCCGGCGUAGGACCGCACAAUUUGUCCGUACUCGGCGAACCCGUGCUCCGCACGCCUAAGAAUAUUCAGGCCGUCCGGCAGGUGUUGUGCAGAAAUUGCAUCAAGCCUAUCAGCGUGUGGGGACUUCGCAACGUCACUUUAAAAGCGAAAAGUCCUUUGAAGUUGAUAUGCAGGGCGAGUGGCAACCCUAUGCCAGCACUGCAAUGGUUCAAAGACGGCGUACCUGUUUUGGUGGGCAGGAAGAGGAUUCAAUAUAAAAAGAAAAGAUCCAUGCUUGUGAUACCGAGGGUAAGGCCAGAAGACAGUGGAAAGUACGAGUGCAGAGGCACUGGCGUCCAAACCGGUCACGUGGCUAUUUCAUGGGGCCAAGUCAUAGUUAAUUCCAAACCGGACAACACGACAGCUCUUUGGCCGUUAGUUGGUGGUCCCUGUCCGGCAGAUCUCGUCUAUUGUUUGAACGGAGGCACGUGUACGUUCUACGAAACCAUUGGAGAGCUGGUGUGCCAGUGCGCCGAAGGCUUCAAGGGCCAACGUUGUGAGAACAAAGACAUUGUUAACAAAAGCAAUACUAAACCAAACAAGAAACAGAACACCACUGAAAGCAAAGCAAACCAUUUCGGCUGGCGGCGCAUUGAUCCUGCCGUGUUACCAAUAUGAAUAAAAAAUUAUGUGCUCAAUUUUUUAUGCACGAUAAACGCUGGUCGAGAAUUCCGAGAAACCCUGAUUUCGUUAUUAAUACAAAUGCGACAAUAUCAAAUUAAAAAAAUUUCGCCCUACACAAAAAGUUAAGAAGCAAAAAAAAGCGAACAAAGAUUUAUUGUCUUUUGUGUACACGUAAUAUGUAACUGAACAUUGGACAGCGGCAUUAACCCGAGCACAUUCUACAACAACUACGGAUUGAUAAAUUCAAUAUAAAAUUCUUAAUAUAUAUAUAUACUACAAUGCAUUAAAUAAAUUAUACAAUAUAGAAAAAUGUAAUCCACAAGAAGAAAAAGAAGCUUUAAAGAAUAAUAGAUAUAGUUAAAUAACAAUUUAUAAAUUGUUAUUUAAAUAUAAUUCGACCGUCCUUGAUUUUAAUGAUAAUUGUUUCUUGUAUAAAUAAAUGACUACGCAAACGCUAAAUACUAACCACUUAAUAUAGUAUUCAUAGUUAUAGCUAAUUUCUUAAAAAUUAGAAGACUAAAUUUACAUAAAAAUUUUUCUUAAGGGCUGUCUAAAUACCUGUUAACUUAAUUAUAGACAAUAGUUAUUUAAUUUAUGAUUUAUUAUUAUUUUGUUUUAUUUAGGUGUAUUACGCGUGAGUGAUUAAUAUUUUACUAUAAGGCUAAAGGUUGUGAUGUUUGUUAUGUUCCAUUUUUUUAGUGAUAUACCAUACAAUUUUUUACUUUGUACGAACGACGCGUAUUAUAAUUUUUAUGUUUAAAUAAAACAUAAUGGCCGUCCAUUUAUUAAUAAUUAUUUACUUAAAAUAAUAGCUGUUUGUAAUAUCACAUGACACAAAAAUUAUUCGAAUCAUAUAAAAACAAUCAUUAAAUAGAUAACGCUUGUAUGAACACUAAUGAAAAUAUUGUGUAUUUAAAUACCGGUAGAAAAUAAUUUAUUAGUAUAAAUAUUAAUCAUAUAUUAUAAUAAUUAUUGGUUCCUUAUAGCUAUAAUAUAUAAUAAAUAUAAUUGAUUUUAGCUGUCAAUAAAAUCUAAUAAUUAAUUAUAUUGAUCAAUGUUCAUUAGAAAAUUUUGUAAACGACUUGUUUUA
Daktulosphaira vitifoliae (grape phylloxera) is the source of this 2661-nucleotide RNA transcript. It is a transcript of the gene named pro-neuregulin-2, membrane-bound isoform, with no coding region annotated. Lineage: Eukaryota; Metazoa; Arthropoda; Insecta; Hemiptera; Phylloxeridae. The transcript has 8 exons. The record is from RefSeq and is a predicted model, not a curated record.